Molecule: ribosomal RNA, 521 nt
Filed under: uncultured bacterium
Lineage: Bacteria
Description: bacterial SSU rRNA
Rfam family: Bacterial small subunit ribosomal RNA
Source: RNAcentral
AACCCUGAUCUAGCCAUGCCGCGUGAGUGAUGAAGGCCUUAGGGUCGUAAAGCUCUUUCGCCUGUGAUGAUAAUGACAGUAGCAGGUAAAGAAACCCCGGCUAACUCCGUGCCAGCAGCCGCGGUAAUACGGAGGGGGUUAGCGUUGUUCGGAAUUACUGGGCGUAAAGCGCGCGUAGGCGGAUUAGAAAGUUGGGGGUGAAAUCCCGGGGCUCAACCUCGGAACUGCCUCCAAAACUGCUGGUCUAGAGUUCGAGAGAGGUGAGUGGAAUUCCGAGUGUAGAGGUGAAAUUCGUAGAUAUUCGGAGGAACACCAGUGGCGAAGGCGGCUCACUGGCUCGAUACUGACGCUGAGGUGCGAAAGUGUGGGGAGCAAACAGGAUUAGAUACCCUGGUAGUCCACACCGUAAACGAUGAAUGCCAGUCGUCGGGUAGUAUACUAUUCGGUGACACACCUAACGGAUUAAGCAUUCCGCCUGGGGAGUACGGUCGCAAGAUUAAAACUCAAAGGAAUUGACGGGG